UUAAAGGAAUUGACGGGGAGCACCACAACGGGUGGAGCUUGCGGUUUAAUUGGAUUCAACGCCGGAAAUCUUACCGGGACCGACAGCAAUAUGAAGGCCAGGCUGAGGACUUUGCCGGAUUAGCUGAGAGGUGGUGCAUGGCCGUCGUCAGUUCGUACUGUGAAGCAUCCUGUUAAGUCAGGCAACGAGCGAGACCCACGCCCACAGUUGCCAGCGUACUCUCUGGAGUGACGGGUACACUGUGGGGACCGCCGCUGCUAAAGCGGAGGAAGGAAUGGGCAACGGUAGGUCAGUAUGCCCCGAAUAUCCCGGGCUACACGCGAGCUACAAUGGUUGGUACAAUGGGUAUCUACCCCGAAAGGGGACGGGAAUCUCCUAAAACCAAUCUUAGUUCGGAUUGAGGGCUGCAACUCGCCCUCAUGAAGCUGGAAUCCGUAGUAAUCGCGUUUCAACAGAACGCGGUGAAUACGUCCCUGCUCCUU
Molecule: ribosomal RNA, 482 nt
Filed under: uncultured Methanosaeta sp.
Lineage: Archaea; Methanobacteriati; Methanobacteriota; Methanomicrobia; Methanotrichales; Methanotrichaceae
Description: bacterial SSU rRNA
Rfam family: Archaeal small subunit ribosomal RNA
Source: RNAcentral